This 1031-nucleotide ribosomal RNA is filed under the name Escherichia coli. Its description in RNAcentral is "partial 23S ribosomal RNA". It matches the Rfam family "Bacterial large subunit ribosomal RNA", at positions 494 to 1529 of the family's 2925-position model. Lineage: Bacteria; Pseudomonadati; Pseudomonadota; Gammaproteobacteria; Enterobacterales; Enterobacteriaceae. The record is from RNAcentral.
ACCAGUACCGUGAGGGAAAGGCGAAAAGAACCCCGGCGAGGGGAGUGAAAAAGAACCUGAAACCGUGUACGUACAAGCAGUGGGAGCACGCUUAGGCGUGUGACUGCGUACCUUUUGUAUAAUGGGUCAGCGACUUAUAUUCUGUAGCAAGGUUAACCGAAUAGGGGAGCCGAAGGGAAACCGAGUCUUAACUGGGCGUUAAGUUGCAGGGUAUAGACCCGAAACCCGGUGAUCUAGCCAUGGGCAGGUUGAAGGUUGGGUAACACUAACUGGAGGACCGAACCGACUAAUGUUGAAAAAUUAGCGGAUGACUUGUGGCUGGGGGUGAAAGGCCAAUCAAACCGGGAGAUAGCUGGUUCUCCCCGAAAGCUAUUUAGGUAGCGCCUCGUGAAUUCAUCUCCGGGGGUAGAGCACUGUUUCGGCAAGGGGGUCAUCCCGACUUACCAACCCGAUGCAAACUGCGAAUACCGGAGAAUGUUAUCACGGGAGACACACGGCGGGUGCUAACGUCCGUCGUGAAGAGGGAAACAACCCAGACCGCCAGCUAAGGUCCCAAAGUCAUGGUUAAGUGGGAAACGAUGUGGGAAGGCCCAGACAGCCAGGAUGUUGGCUUAGAAGCAGCCAUCAUUUAAAGAAAGCGUAAUAGCUCACUGGUCGAGUCGGCCUGCGCGGAAGAUGUAACGGGGCUAAACCAUGCACCGAAGCUGCGGCAGCGACGCUGAUGCGUUGUUGGGUAGGGGAGCGUUCUGUAAGCCUGCGAAGGUGUGCUGUGAGGCAUGCUGGAGGUAUCAGAAGUGCGAAUGCUGACAUAAGUAACGAUAAAGCGGGUGAAAAGCCCGCUCGCCGGAAGACCAAGGGUUCCUGUCCAACGUUAAUCGGGGCAGGGUGAGUCGACCCCUAAGGCGAGGCCGAAAGGCGUAGUCGAUGGGAAACAGGUUAAUAUUCCUGUACUUGGUGUUACUGCGAAGGGGGGACGGAGAAGGCUAUGUUGGCCGGGCGACGGUUGUCCCGGUUUAAGCGUGUAGGCUGGU